Molecule: transfer RNA, 74 nt
Filed under: Gammaproteobacteria bacterium
Lineage: Bacteria; Pseudomonadati; Pseudomonadota; Gammaproteobacteria
Also listed under: 4 other names
Description: tRNA-Gln
Rfam family: tRNA
About the family: Transfer RNA (tRNA) molecules are approximately 80 nucleotides in length. Their secondary structure includes four short double-helical elements and three loops (D, anti-codon, and T loops). Further hydrogen bonds mediate the characteristic L-shaped molecular structure. tRNAs have two regions of fundamental functional importance: the anti-codon, which is responsible for specific mRNA codon recognition, and the 3' end, to which the tRNAs corresponding amino acid is attached (by aminoacyl-tRNA synthetases). tRNAs cope with the degeneracy of the genetic code in two manners: having more than one tRNA (with a specific anti-codon) for a particular amino acid; and 'wobble' base-pairing, i.e. permitting non-standard base-pairing at the 3rd anti-codon position.
Source: RNAcentral
UGGGGGAUCGUCUAAUGGCAGGACAGCGGACUCUGACUCCGCCAGUCUAGGUUCGAAUCCUAGUCCCCCAGCCA